UACGUAGGGUGCGAGCGUUAAUCGGAAUUACUGGGCGUAAAGCGUGCGCAGGCGGUUCUCCAAGUCCGUUGCGAAAGCCCCGGGCUCAACCUGGGAAUGGCAGUGGAAACUAGGGGACUGGAAUCUGGCAGAGGGGGGUGGAAUGCCGCGUGUAGCAGUGAAAUGCGUAGAGAUGCGGCGGAACACCGAUGGCGAAGGCAGCCCCCUGGGCUGAGAUUGACGCUCAGGCACGAAAGCGUGGGGAGCAAACAGG
Molecule: ribosomal RNA, 253 nt
Filed under: uncultured bacterium
Lineage: Bacteria
Description: partial 16S ribosomal RNA
Rfam family: Bacterial small subunit ribosomal RNA
Source: RNAcentral